Molecule: long non-coding RNA, 230 nt
Filed under: Coturnix japonica (Japanese quail)
Lineage: Eukaryota; Metazoa; Chordata; Aves; Galliformes; Phasianidae
Description: lncRNA (ENSCJPG00005009464.1)
Source: RNAcentral
UUCUUGGCAAUAGGAAAGUAUUUAAGAUUGUGGAAAAAAGUCUUAAUUUUGGGAACCUGACAUCUUCAUCUCAGACUAUGGGUGGAAGAAACACCAAUGGAACUUGGAGCACGACACACGUUUCUGUAAGAUGAAGAUAAGUGAAUAAGCCACAGUGAUGGAGAUAAGCUUCUUUGACUCCUGGAGGGCUUUCUUUAAGUACAAAAAAAGGUAUUGAAAAGUAGUUUAUG